GACGAACGCUGGCGGCGUGCCUAAUACAUGCAAGUAGAACGCUGAAGAGAGGAGCUUACUCUUCUUGGAUGAGUUGCGAACGGGUGAGUAACGCGUAGGUAACCUGCCUUGUAGCGGGGGAUAACUUUUGGAAACGAUAGCUAAUACCGCAUAACAAUGGAUGACACAUGUCUUUUAUUUGAAAGGGGCAAUUGCUCCACUACAAGAUGGACCUGCGUUGUAUUAGCUAGUAGGUUAGGUAAUGGCUCACCUAGGCGACGAUACAUAGCCGACCUGAGAGGGUGAUCGGCCACACUGGGACUGAGACACGGCCCAGACUCCUACGGGAGGCAGCAGUAGGGAAUCUUCGGCAAUGGGGGCAACCCUGACCGAGCAACGCCGCGUGAGUGAAGAAGGUUUUCGGAUCGGAAAGCCCUGUUGUAAGUCAAGAACGGGUGUGAGAGUGGAAAGUUCACACUGUGACGGUAGCUUACCAGAAAGGGACGGCUAACUACGUG
RNAcentral lists this ribosomal RNA (497 nucleotides) under uncultured bacterium. RNAcentral describes it as "partial 16S ribosomal RNA". It matches the Rfam family "Bacterial small subunit ribosomal RNA", at positions 28 to 507 of the family's 1533-position model. The record is from RNAcentral.